GUGGCUAAGACAUGCAAGUCGUACGGGUGUAGCAAUACAUCAGUGGCGAACGGGUGAGUAAUGUAUCGCUAACGUGCCCUUCGGUUUGGGAUAGCCGUCCGAAAGGACGGGUAAUACCAGUUAAGACCACAAUCCCGCAUGGGAUGGUGCUCAAAGGGAAACCGCCGAAGGAGCGGGCGAUAUCGUAUCAGCUAGUUGGUGAGGUAACGGCUCACCAAGGCGACGACGCGUAGCCGGGCUGAGAGGUCGGCCGGCCACAUUGGGACUGAGACACUGCCCAG
RNAcentral lists this ribosomal RNA (281 nucleotides) under uncultured bacterium. Its description in RNAcentral is "partial 16S ribosomal RNA". It matches the Rfam family "Bacterial small subunit ribosomal RNA", at positions 44 to 334 of the family's 1533-position model. The record is from RNAcentral.